Phascolarctos cinereus (koala) is the source of this 1206-nucleotide non-coding RNA. The record is from RefSeq and is a predicted model, not a curated record. Lineage: Eukaryota; Metazoa; Chordata; Mammalia; Diprotodontia; Phascolarctidae.
GCUGAUCACAAAAUCCCAUUGAACUUGCCACCUGCUUAAAAAGAUCUACAAGGAAAAGAGAAAAUGCAAAUGCUCCAGAAAUUUAUCAUCUAAGAAUACAACGGUGAAAUCUCAGAUACUGGAAGUGUAUAGAUCUGAAACAUGCAGCUAAAUAUAUGCUGGGUGUGGGUGAACUCAUUCUGUUUUCUCUCCUAUCCCUGGAACUACAGUAUUAUAUCUGAAAGCACCACCUGACUCAUUUCCCUUCAUUUUUUCCCUGUGUAUGGCACGCAGAUCUACACAUACACAUCAGUCCUGUCCACAAACAGGAACAAUCCAAUUGUCAGUCAAAACCAACAGAAUGCAGGAUUGACAUUUUAAAGAUAUGUAAAGUCAUGCUUUCUUAAUGCCUCCAAAUCAACAAGAGAAAUGUUCAUCUUAAAACUCUGAAGUUUCACCUCACAUCUAUCAGGUUGUCAAAGGUGACAAAAGAAACCGGAGAAGUUUGAAGGGUCAGAGGGAAGACAGGCACAUUAAUGCAAUGCUGCGAAUAGCAAUACCCCUACUUGACAUUACCCCAAGCAGGCCAAAGAAGAAAAAGCCUCGUUUAUAUGAAACAAGUUUGGUGGUAGCAAAGAACAGGAAGAAAAAUGGGGGCCCACUGAUUGAACAAAUUGUGGUAUAUGACUGUAAUGGAAUAUUACUGUUCCAUAAGAAAUGGUGACUAUGAAUAAUUCUGAGAAAUCUGCAAAGACUUGUAUGAAUUAAUGCAGAAUUAAGUAAGCAGAGCCAGGAAAACAGUUUACAUGAUGGCUACAACAACAUGAAGGAAAAAAAAAACGCUAAAAAAAAUUCAGAACUCUGAAGUAAUGCAGUGCUCAAUCAUGAUUCAGAGAGGCCACUAAAGCAAACAUGUCAUCUAAUGCUUGAGAAAGAGGUAGGGGACUACAGAUGUGAAAUGAGGCGUUCAUUUUUAGACAAGAUCAAUAAGGCAAUGUAUUUUGUUUGGUAAUACUUAUUUGUAAUAUGAGAUAGUUUUAAUGGUGGCAGAAGGGAAACAUUAGGAAGUAACAAUGAUAUAAAAAAAGAAAAAGCGCUAAUAAAACAGCUUAAAAAACUAAAGUUAUCCUUUCUUUGGUAAUAAAAUCUUAGUAAUUUUGUAAAGUUAAAACUUAGGAGCACAACUUGAAUUACUAUCAUAAACAAUAAAUCAAGAGUUUGAGAUUA